GGGGAUAGCCCGGCGAAAGCCGGAUUAAUACCGCAUACGCUCUGAGGAGGAAAGCGGGGGAUCUUUCGGGACCUCGCGCUCAAGGGGCGGCCGAUGGCAGAUUAGCUAGUUGGUGGGGUAAAGGCCUACCAAGGCGACGAUCUGUAGCUGGUCUGAGAGGACGACCAGCCACACUGGGACUGAGACACGGCCCAGACUCCUACGGGAGGCAGCAGUGGGGAAUUUUGGACAAUGGGCGCAAGCCUGAUCCAGCAAUGCCGCGUGUGUGAAGAAGGCCUUCGGGUUGUAAAGCACUUUUGUCCGGAAAGAAAACUUCCGCCCUAAUACGGUGGGNNGAUGACGGUACCGGAAGAAUAAGCACCGGCUAACUACGUGCCAGCAGCCGCGGUAAUACGUAGGGUGCGAGCGUUAAUCGGAAUUACUGGGCGUAAAGCGUGCGCAGGCGGUUCGUUAAGACAGAUGUGAAAUCCCCGGGCUUAACCUGGGAACUGCAUUUGUGACUGGCNAACUGGAGUAUGGCAGAGGGGGGUAGAAUUCCACGUGUAGCAGUGAAAUGCGUAGAGAUGUGGAGGAAUACCGAUGGCGAAGGCAGCCCCCUGGGCCAAUACUGACGCUCAUGCACGAAAGCGUGGGGAGCAAACAGGAUUAGAUACCCUGGUAGUCCACGCCCUAAACGAUGUCAACUGGUUGUCGGGCCUUCAUUGGCUUGGUAACGUAGCUAACGCGUGAAGUUGACCGCCUGGGGAGUACGGUCGCAAGAUUAAAACUCAAAGGAAUUGACGGGGACCCGCACAAGCGGUGGAUGAUGUGGAUUAAUUCGAUGCAACGCGAAAAACCUUACCUACCCUUGACAUGUACGGAAGUCUGCCGAGAGGUGGAUGUGCCCGAAAGGGAGCCGUAACACAGGUGCUGCAUGGC
Molecule: ribosomal RNA, 918 nt
Filed under: Paraburkholderia ribeironis
Lineage: Bacteria; Pseudomonadati; Pseudomonadota; Betaproteobacteria; Burkholderiales; Burkholderiaceae
Description: bacterial SSU rRNA
Rfam family: Bacterial small subunit ribosomal RNA
Source: RNAcentral